This 510-nucleotide ribosomal RNA is filed under the name uncultured bacterium. RNAcentral's name for it is "partial 16S ribosomal RNA". It matches the Rfam family "Bacterial small subunit ribosomal RNA", at positions 28 to 507 of the family's 1533-position model. The record is from RNAcentral.
GACGAACGCUGGCGGCGUGCUUAACACAUGCAAGUCGAACGGAGAGCGAUGGCAUCUUGCUUCUGUCAGUCUUAGUGACGAGCGGGUGAGUCACGCGUAAUCAACCUGCCCUUCAGAGGGAGACAACAGUUGGAAACGACUGCUACUACCACAUACGAUCGAUUCUCGGCAUCGAGGAUAGAUUAAAGGUGGCCUCUACAUGUAAGCUAUCACUGAAGGAGGUGAGUGCGUCUGAUUAGGUAGUUGGAGGGGUAGCGUCCCCCGGCUGCGAGGGUCAGUGGUCGGUCUGAGAUGAUGGACGGCCACACCUGGACGGGGACCCGGCCCAGACGGCUACGGGAGGCAGCAGUGGGGAAUCCGGCGGAAAGGACGAAAGACUGACGGAGCAAGGCCGCGUGCGUGAUGACGGACUUCGGGUUGUGAAGCGCCGGUAAUCGGGACGAAAGGCCUUCUCGCGAAUAGCGAGAAGGAUUGACGGUAACGGAAUAGAAAGCCACGGCUAACUACGUG